GUCCUGGUGAAGAGUCCCAAACUAGGACGAAACAGCUUUCCAGUAC
This 46-nucleotide non-coding RNA is filed under the name Trichobilharzia regenti. The record is from RNAcentral. Lineage: Eukaryota; Metazoa; Platyhelminthes; Trematoda; Strigeidida; Schistosomatidae.